GCCGGCGGUGAGCCGGGUGCCGCUGUGCUGUCGCGGAGCCCGUAACGUGGCACAGCCGGGACAGGUGUGAGCCCAGGGCGUCUCUGCAGGCUUGGUUCCUCAGGUGUGUCGCAUACACCUGAGGUGCAUUUACAUGAGAAGACUUGUGACCGGCUAAGGGCGAAGGGAAUUUCCGCAAGGAAUGGAACUGGCUCACAGCUUGCUGCUCAAUGAAGAAGCGUCCAAUCAGCUAGGUGACGUCCAGAAGGCCGAGUUUGUUUUUGAGUGGUUGAGAUACUUGGAGAAGCUCUUGCUAGCAACAAACAGGGAUGACGUCAGGGAGAAGCAGAAGGCCCUUGUUGAACAGCUCCUUUCCUUACUGAGCAGCUCCCCAGGGCCUCCUACUCGCAAGCUCCUUGCCCAGAAUCUGGCAAUACUUUAUAGUAUUGGAGACACGUUUUCUGUGUAUGAGACAAUCGAUAAAUGCAAUGAUCUUAUUCGUAGCAAAGAUGACUCUCCAAGUUACCUUCCCACCAAACUGUAAGUUAAACAUUAAAACCUAACAAUACAAAA
RNAcentral lists this long non-coding RNA (552 nucleotides) under Rattus norvegicus (Norway rat). RNAcentral's name for it is "long non-coding RNA NONRATT025003". Lineage: Eukaryota; Metazoa; Chordata; Mammalia; Rodentia; Muridae. The record is from RNAcentral.